Molecule: long non-coding RNA, 739 nt
Filed under: Citrus maxima (pomelo)
Lineage: Eukaryota; Viridiplantae; Streptophyta; Magnoliopsida; Sapindales; Rutaceae
Description: long non-coding RNA (CMAX_LNC004044)
Source: RNAcentral
GAAAGUUGAAUGGCAUAAAAUGAUAAGUUUAAGGAAUGUCAACUUUCCCAACCCCCAUGGGAAUAAGUUCUCAUUCUUUAAUCCCAAAAAUAUAUAAACCUCCCAUGUUUCAUUUUCAUUCCUUCUAUUUUAACAAGUAAAAUUGCCACUUCGGCCUUGGUCGGAGUAGUGGGCUGCUGCCCUCACAAGCAUUGUGAGGGCAGCGGUUCAAGCCCCCACAAAAGCAUUUGUGGGGGCUAACGUGCUUAUUUGUUUAAUAUUUCAAAAAUUUCCUCUCCCUCGUGCAAUACGAGUGGAGUAUGGACAUCCCUCUUCUGUAAGGGAUUAUUUGUCUGGGCAUGUACUUCACAGAAUUCAAUGUAAUAAUAUAAGUCCCAAUCAUGUAUUUCUGAUUGUAAAUAUCAGUGUAAUAUAUCUGCUAUAAUAGCAGUUGUAAAUAUCUGUGUAAUGCAGUAAUAUGAUGAUUAAUCAGUAUUAAAAAAAAAAAAAACAGGUAAACAUUAUUAAUUUUUUCUAUUCCAAACUUUGAUUCCCUAAUCCCACAAGUAAAUACACAAUAGAUGUAGUCAUAUAUGAGAAAAUCAGCAGACAAUCAUUAACUAAUAAGAAAAUAUUAAGGACUGGAUAACAUUGCCCAUGAACGUAUUCUAGAAGCCCAUAAAACAUUGGAAACUAGACAUCAUCUGCGGACUCCAAAAGGAAAAUAACCUUUAAUCAAAAAGGGAAAAGCUCAGGGACU